AAGCCCCGGGCCCCCACUGCCAUGCUGGAUAAGUGGAAGCGCAGUUUACAGAAUGCGUUUUUUAUGUUGGAAAGCGUAUUUCUAUUUAAAUGUGGCUGGAAGUGCGCUUUCCUUUAAAUAAAACGUAUUUUAGACGAGUGCGCUUUUAGUUCAGCCGCCAGGGGCCUGUCUGUGAAUAAAUGUUUUACAGAUUAGUCCCUGGUCUUCAACCCUUCAUAUCUUUUUACCCAUAGCUCCAAAUCAGGUGACUCCAAAGCCCACAUCUUCGUUUCGACGAGCCCUUUCUGUUGGUCACACUUUCACCAUGUGUUAAAAUUCUGAAAAUGACCAUUUUGCCCCUGCCCUUAUUCAGGUGAUUCUUUCCGCGAGUUUCUCGCACUUUCUCCUGGUGAUUUCUGCCACCCCAUGCAAGCCACAACCUCGAUUUGCAUCACUGUAAUGCAGUGACAUGGUUUAAUUUAUUUGAACUUGUUUAAAAUAUUGCUUUAGCUACACAUUUCUCUAUGCAUGGCAUUUUCUCGGAGUAUUAUUUUGAUCUUGCUGUUGCCAUGCUAUUGUUUGGAUUACUAGAAGUUAUGUUUGAAGUUGAUGAGUAUCAUGUGUCAUUGGAGUACUAGUGGUUGAUAUUAUGAUCAUUUUCAUGAUGGUAUCUGGUAUUAUAUUUGGGAGUAUUACUCUGGAUGUCAUGUUGCCUUUGGAUUACUAGUGGCUAGAUUUAUUUUCUUCAAGAUGAUAGUUGAUGUUCUGUUGCUUGGUAUUAUUUUCGGAGAUGAUGUUUAAACGUGGAUCUUAGCUGGAUAGCUUGUUCUCAUUAUUGGAGUAGUAGGAAUAUUGUAUUUCGAUCCAUCGUGAUAGUAGUGUUAUGCUAUCCUCUGAGUAUUUUGGUAUGAUGAUAUUAUGCUUGGAUUAUUUGUUGGAUAUUCCUAUGACUUGGAUUACAGUUUGAUAAUUGAUAUCGGAGUAUCAACUAUCACAGUUAUAUUUUGGGGAUAUAUUCCGUCAUUAAGUUGGUCAGGUGUCACCGAACCGGGCUUUUCCAGUGCAACCACAUUUGCCUUUUAUGGGAAGGCCCUAAUGUGAUGCUAUUGUCGUGCCUCUCGCUGGUGCCUCCAACUAGGGAAGGUUAUGGGUGCGCGCUACCCUAAUCAGGUAGGCGGACAUAAGCCUUGUGAGCCCGAGUUUGGUUAUGUGCACAUGUCCCCGUUUGGGACCGUUUUUGUUUUGCCACGACGGUGGUCUUUGGUGCCUUUUGUAGGCAUGGGUCCACCCAGGAUUGAACCCAAAAGGGGGUGUUGUUCAGAGUGGCUGGGAGAGUGUCAUGGCAGUAGAAUGGUUUUGUUGGAAUGCCGUUGGUCCACCCAAAUGGGAGUGCGAGGCCAUGGGUUCCGUGGUGUGGGUACAGUGCGCUACCUCUGCAAAGUGUGUGUUUAAGCUAUCGAUAGCCGCGUCCUUACUAGGUCACACCAUUCGAUCAACACUCACGUGACGGAAUGACUUAUAGUUGAUUUAUAUGAUGUAUGUGAGCAGUAACAGUUUGGCAGGAUGUUUGAUGAUGAUGUUGAGAUGAUCUUGAGGAUGAUCAUUCAGUUUGUGAUGUGGUCAUGAGGUGACCGUGUGGAUAUGUUGAUCAUGAGGUGAUCACGUAGAUGUUUUGAUCACAAGGUGAUCAUACGGACCACGAGGUGGUCGAGAUGGUAUAUUUUGCUUGGCCGGUUAGCCAAGAAUGAGAUUGUUGUUGGGAUUGAGAUGUUGGUUUAUCAGUAUGGCAAUAAUUUCCUAUCAUGCUUAGUAGGUGUUGUCAUGUCAUGGUAGCUGUUAAUUAAAUUAACCUGCUUAAUGCUAUGUUGUUAUCUUGCCUUGAUGUUUUUGGUUGUUGUGAGCUUGCAAGUACAUUCAAUGUACUGACCUAGCGUGUUAUGCCAAAUGGCAGGAGAUCUGUGAUUGCUUGAUUGCUUGUUGAGGUUUCCGUGUGUGCGAGCUAGAUCGUGUCCCAGCCAGAGUCCCUGCGGAGUGGAGUUCACCACCUUCGUCGUUGUUCCGCUGCUAGAAGAUUUCCGCUGCUACGAGUUGUUCUGCUGCUAGCAUCGAGCAAGUGUAGUAUCACAGGCGUAGUGUCGCCAUGCUAAUGUGAUCCUUUGUAACAUCAGACCUUUGUAUUUAUCCUUUGUAAUAAGAGCUGAUUUGUUCUAUGUCAAGCAGUGUCGCAUUCUAGAAGACUUCAUCUCAAUCUCUGGGCUGGAAUACGGGGCGUUCUGGUUUCUCUGAGCCGGGGUGCCACAGGCUUGGUAUCAGAGCAGGUCUGGCUGUAGGACGCCCUAGUCAGCGCGAGCGGUAGAAGCCGGUAGAAAUCGGUAGUAUGGAGUUAUGGCUUGUUGAUUGCAUUUGGUUGUUGCAUUUGUUUGUUGCAUAGUAUGCAUAUAGCCUUAGUAUUUUUGUUAACGGUUUAUCUGGUGAGUGUAGCUGGCAUCAGAUCCUGAUCCACUACAGCUCAGCCUCUGCAUUUCUCUAGAUUCCCUUUUUCUUUCGAUGUUUGGUGUCAUUUCUGUCCUAGCAGAGUGAUGCCAAGUGAUCCCGACACUAUUUGCAAAAAUGGUGCUCAGGUAUCGCACCGAUGUCUUCCUUUCAGCCCCCCUAUCGUUUCGGUGAUAGACAUGCUUCUAUCCCGGAUCGUUGUUGUAUUUUUGUCGUGUUGGCACCCCUUAAUGAUCUUAGUUAUCAAGAAAGGGCAAUGUCAGCAGCCUCAGUUUUUUCCCCGUUAUCCUAUUUCUUGGACAAGUAUGGAUCUUUUUCUGUCGGCUUGAUAAUAAUGUGGUUGUGACCUUCGUGUCCCACUACAUGGUUACCAAGUACGUCCUUGCUUUCAAGCUAUUCCAGGUUGCUACCUGGCUAAGCUAGCACUUUGUCUCGCGAUGUUUACACCCAUUCUUCCACACAUUUAUUCAUCCUCGUGCACAUCGUCACAGCAUGCUACAUCGUAGUACGGGAGAUUCCGUGAAAUUUGUGUGCUUAAGUAGGCAUGCAUAUUGUGUGACUAGCAAUAGUAUGUGACAUUGAUUGUUGUUGUGUGCUUUUGUUUAGUUGAGUCUUCUUUUGCUUCUUUCUUUUUGGGCCCAGGUGUUACAUUAUUUUCCCCCUAUAAAGAGUUGCUCAUCCACCGACACCUGACUCAAAGAAGCAAUAAGGAUUUGAAAUAUUUGGAAGAAGCUCAGCUAGACAUUAUUGUCUAAACAAUCAACUGCAUUGUGGCAUUAAUAUCUUCUCAGAAUACCAAUGGUGUCUCAUAUUGAUUAUCAGCGUAGAGUCUACAUCAGUAUAAAAUCCUCACAACAGUUAUGAUCCAGCCAGCAACAAGACAAGUCAGGUACAAGGUCAACGGUAUAUUUUCAGAUAGAGGUAUGGAUCAUAUACAAAGUUUUGGCUCAAUAAUGCAUGAUGCUUGAAAUAUGUUAUCAUCCAAAAUAAAGUAAGAAUGUGAUAUGCUCAAGGAAGACAGUCAAACCAUUUUUCUCAUGCAAAUAAUCAACCUCAAAAUAUUAUGGGUGUGUGUAUGGAUUUCAGUUUGCAUAUCAGUAUGAAGUUUCCGAUAUAAGAAACCCAGUAUUCUUCCACACGCCAUCGGAAGAAAUUUAUGAUGCAAGGCUCCUCAAUUUUCCUCAGCAUGAUAUGUGAACACUUUCCAGCCCAUGAUAUCCGUUCUUUCUCACCAAGAUACCUCGGUAAAAGCUUCUGACAGACGGAAGUAAUUUUUUCUCAACAAGCAAAAUCGAGGAGAAGCUCCACAAGUACGGAACUCAGGCUUCUCCAAGCACAACAAUCAGACCAAGCUUCGUGUGUAAGCUAUAGAGCCUUCUUCUACACGAUACCCAGACAAAAUAUUUGAUCAGAAGUUAACAAGUCUUCCUUAGCAAGCUACUCGGAUGGCUUCUCUCGUAAGCGAUUCAGUCUGCGUCAGUAUCAUACUAUUACACCAUCCUCAGAGGUUAUAUGAUGAGUUGCCAAUGUAUGCCAGCACCGUUCAAGAAUUAGACUCGCAACAUUUUUGUCGGAAGCACAAAUCUGUCAGGGAAUAGGCCUUCUUCAGAAAUCAAGUGUUCGGUUACAUAUCUUUCCACAUAUAUGGUGAGAAUGUAUCCUCGGACAUGCAAGUUACUCGGAUAGCUUUCAACCCACGACACCUUGCCUUCUUCAGCACGACACCGCAUGUCGUAUUCAGUAUUGCUACAAGUGAUGACCCCAUGAGUCGGCAGUAUAUGAUAGUGCACUUCAAGGACCAGACUUGCAAUAAUUUUUGUCAGCGGUACAAUUCAGUCAAAACAUAUACCUACCGCAAGAAUCAAGUGUUCGGUUGCAUAUGAUUCUUAUAUAUGGUGAGCACGCGUCCCCAGUCAUAUCAGUCACUCAUGCGAGAUGCGGCAAGGAUCCAGCAGACACACCUAAGAAAAGUAAGGAUCCCACAACCUCACGAGUCAGGCAAAGGAAAAUGAGUAGAGAUACAUCUCAUGAAUUACAAGGAUCGACAAGAUCUGGAGGUGACAACGCAGAUUCAACAGUCGUGACAAUGCUCACCAAAGGCAUUAUUCCCGCAUUAGACAAGGAGGAUGUCAGAAGAUCUUGUCACCUUCUUGUAUGAUUGGCCUCAGCAAUGAGCUCCGUACAGCUACAACUCCCUAGUAUAUGUCAUAUAUAUGCUGACCUAGGUCGGAAAACAAGCGCAAGGAAUCAUGCCAAAAAUAUUGCACUCACCACAUACAUGGUCAUACGAAGAAUCAAGGACAUAUGUGGCCAAGCUAUUUCAGUAAGGUAUCCUAACAAAGAAAAUCAUGACCAUUGAAGGGUGAGAAUGACAGCAAAGGUAUGAUGAUUUUUGCACGACCACCAGGGUCCGGAUACCUAAGUCAGUUGGAGGCCAUAAUUCCAUAUGGAUCCACAGAGGCAUACUCUUAGCAGCCUACUCUAUUUACAAGGAUUCUCAUAUCCCACUGACCCGUUUGACAUGGUUAGUGUGGAAUAUCCAAGUUUGUUCUAUCAGAUCCAAGAUUCCUUUGCAACCUCAGCAGUUUGACCUCAGCGGCAGUGUUAAAGAUUAUCACAGCCUAUUACCACGGAUGGGUAUAUCGACCACAUGAGAAAAAUCAAAAGCCGAAUAAUCAGCUCAGAGCCGGUAUACUCACCGACGGAAUCAAGUACAAGGUCAGUUCAUUAGGAAAAGCAUUUGUCCGUCAGCCCCCUAUUAGUCCAGUAUCAAGAUGUAAAUAUUUGAGGCAUGACACCGCUAUAACUCCAUACACCAUUAUAUUGCUCACGACAAAAGGCAGUCAAAUCUUUGGUACAUAUCUCAUGCUUGAGCCGAAGAAAUAAAUCAAGAUAAAUCAAUGCUACCUGUGAGCAGUCAGAUCCCAUUAAGAGAAUGGCCAUGAUUCUCAGCAUUUAUGGAACACAGAAGACAUGCAUUUAUUUGAAGCAACCCCAUGGCAGAAGUAAAAAGGUUUUCAUGACCAAAGGAAAAAUUUAUGCUCAGAUCCAUUGGAUAUCACCGCAGAUAAGAGAAAAUUCAUGUCAACAAAAGGAUUCGGUAUGUGAGCAGAAACCAGUCAGAAUUUGGGGAAAUGUGAAGCAAACGACCCCACGGCAAGGUAAGUUGAUCAUCUGAAAUUCUUGUGGGAACAAUAAAUAAAGAAAAAAGGAUACCCGAGUUGGAAACGGUGUCCUCAAAUCAUACUUGUUCCCUAAGCAAUUAAAUCUUGAGGACGAGAUUUCUUUAAGGGGGUAAGAGUUGUAACAACCUGGUUUUGGCCCUUUUUUCUUUUGAUUUAUCUGGCUUUUGCUCUGUUUUUCUUCUAGAGUGGCUCUGUGGCCUUGCCACCUGGGAAAACAUCCUCAUUCCCCCUCCCAAGUGGCUCAUAAUUCGCAAAACCUUGCCAAGAUCAUGUCACUUCACUCCUUGACCAAACCCUAAAAUUCUUUUCUAGGGAAAUUUCCUUUUUCAUUAAAGGAAUAACCCUAUCUGCCCUAGCUUGUGAAGCGACCUAUAUUUCUGCCCAUCCAAAAAUUCCCAAUUAAUUCUCAUAAUUCCUUUGGGUCAUAUGUUGCUCAAAUAUGCCCAAACUUUUCUAUCCUAGUCCAAGAAUAAUUCCCCAAUAAUUAUUCUUCCUUUCUAUACUGAAUUGCACUUCAUGAAGGAAGUGUCAUUUAUAUUUUCCUAGUGGAUCCCAAGCUUUUGGGAAUGUUUAUAUGUCCAAAUAAUUUACCCAUGCACAAGUUCAACUUUAUUUGCCUAGCCAAUCUUCCUCAGUGAUUUUUCAAAGUUUCUGCCAGACAAAAGGCUUUGUGAAGGAAUUACUAGCUAGGAGUACCCAAAUGAGUUGAACUUUUGGACACUCCUUAAUCUUCUCAUAUUAACCCCCUCCAGCCAAUCAUAUAUCUGAGCACAGGAGCAAAUCUUUGAUUAUGGCAAUAUUUUCAGGUUGUGAAGCAAGUGUAUUUUAUAUUGCUUCAAAAAUCCUGAUAAAUUACCAGAUCAUCCUUAUACCCAUAAAAUACCUCUCAACCCAAUUUUGCAUCAUUUCAUCAAGCCAUUUGAUCACCAAAAUUAUUCCAAGUUUCUAGACAGAAAUGAUGUUUGUGAAGCAAGUACCAUUUUGGUGAACCCAUUUGGUAUGAGCUUCUUACAGCAUCUUUAUAUGUCCAUAUCAUCAGGAUUUGCCACGUUGCAUCCCAUUACAUCACACCAUGUGAGUGCAUCAUCCAAAUCUUGAUUCUGGACCAAUUUUGGGGUUACACAGCAACUAUAUUAGUUUGUGCUCCAUUAUGCUCCAAAACCUCCAGGAUCAUAGUCCUUCCGUAGUUACUCAUCCCAGACAACACCAUUUGACCCAAUCAGUUUCCUGUUGAUCAGCAGUGCUCUGCCAAGUUAGAUGCAGUAAACUUCAAAGCUUAGUUACCAUUUAACCAUAGCACCCUAGAUCCAACCAUGGCAUCAUCAAUGCUCUAUCUUGGAAGGACUAUCAUCUAGAGAACGUUUUGGGUGCUGUAGAGCAUUGAAUGCCCCAAUUCACAUGGUGACUACGAUGAUGGCGUGCAUGUACACGCACUCUUUGCGCAGUGGCCUCGUCCAGGGCGCCAUUUCUACUUCGUCUGCUCCCCACUCAUCGACUUUGCGCGCGUGAGCAUGUCCCUUGGCUUCACCUCGUCGUCGAUGUUCCCCUGGACCCCUCUCCCCCUCCAUCCGCUUCCUCACCGAGGCAAGCCGCCGCGCGCCCAUGGGGAAGCAUUGGCGGUUUGGCUCGGAGCUCGCCGUCUUCUUCCUCCCUGCACUCCCUUGGUCUCCUCUUCCUCGUGAGCUCUCCCUCCUGUUCCCUCUCGCGCCUAACCCCGAGCUCAUGUGCGUGCACACGCGUCUGCAGUGACGGACAUGCGUCCGCGGCGACGACAACUAUCCCCUCCGGCGCCUAUUUAAGGCCACCCCGAGCUCCCUCGACUGCACCAGUAGCCUCACUCCUUCCCCUAGUCCUCCCGAGCCCCUUCCCCGAGCACCAGAGCCCUUCCUCGACCUCCAUUGCCACCGUGGCCAUCGUUCGGCUCCGCUCAAAUUAAAGAGAGUCAAUGCCUCUCCUUCCAUCUCUUCACCUCCAGCAGACCACCACCACCACUCUAUAGACGCCUCGACCCAUGCCUCUUCCUCGGAUGCACCCUUGCCGUGGUCUCAAGCUCACCGUGGCCGCCUUCCUCCCAAGCCAGGGGCGCGUCCAACCCCGGCAGCCCCCGAGGCCCGCGCGGCGACCCACUGGCGCGGGAUGGAAUGGCGCAUCCAUCCCCGGCGGUGCCCUAGCCUGCCGUGGCCCGACUCGCCGGAGCGGGCAAAGCACCGGCGGCCCUCGCCUGAUCUUCGGGCGGCAACGGGAAGAAGAAGCAAACGCCAACCCCCUCCCUGCCAGCUGGCCAGUGGACCCCGCAGGACCUACUCGUCAGCGACUUAAGCCCCGGGCCCCCACUGCCAUGCUGGAUAAGUGGAAGCGCAGUUUACAGAAUGCGUUUUCGAUGUUGGAAAGUGUAUUUCUAUUUAACUAUGGCUGGAAGUGCGCUUUCCUUUAAAGAAAACAUAUUUCAGCCGAGUGCGCUUUCAGUUCAGCCGCCAGGGGCCUGUCUAUGAAUAAAUGUUUUAUAGAAUAGUCCCUGGUCUUCAACCCUUCAUAUCUUUUUACCCAUAGCUCCAAAUCAGGUGACUCCAAAGCCCACAUCUUCAUUUCGUCGAGCCCUUUCUGUUGGUCACACUUUCACCAUGUGUUAACAUUCUGACAAUGACCAUUUUGCCCCUACCCUUAUUCAUCCCCCUCUGAGAGACAACAAUUUCCCACGAUUUUUUUCGCAAGUUUCUCGCACAUUCUCCCGGUGAUUUCUUCCACCCCAGGCAAGCCACAACCUCCAUUUGCAUCACUGUAAUGCAGUGACAUGGUUUAAUUUAUUUGAACUUGUUUAAAAUAUUGCUUUAGCUACACAUGACUAUGUGCAUGGCAUUUUCUCGGAGUAUUAUUUUGAUCUUGAUGUUGCCAUGCUAUUGUUUGGAUUACUAGGAGUUAUGUUUGCAGUUGAUGAGUAUCAUGUGUCAUUGGAGUAUUAGUGGUUGGUAUUAUGAUUAUUUUCAUGAUGGUAUCUGGUAUUAUAUUUCGGAUUAUUACUUUGGAUGUCAUGUUGCCUUUGGAUUACUAGUGGCUAGAUUUAUUUUCUUCAUGAUGAUAGUUGAUGUUCUGUUGCUUGGAGUAUUAUUUUCGGAGAUGAUGUUUACAUGUGGAUCUUAGAUGGAUAGCUUGUUC
This 8810-nucleotide long non-coding RNA is filed under the name Triticum aestivum (bread wheat). RNAcentral describes it as "long non-coding RNA (TAES_LNC003499)". The record is from RNAcentral. Lineage: Eukaryota; Viridiplantae; Streptophyta; Magnoliopsida; Poales; Poaceae.